Peromyscus leucopus (white-footed mouse) is the source of this 486-nucleotide long non-coding RNA. RefSeq lists it as uncharacterized. NCBI's taxonomy places the organism in Eukaryota, Metazoa, Chordata, Mammalia, Rodentia, Cricetidae. The transcript is spliced from 4 exons. The record is from RefSeq and is a predicted model, not a curated record.
UUUCUGUGAUGCUGUUUCUCUUGUUCUUGUUAAUGAGAGGGAAACCCUACACAACACACUCUCUUGGCUCAGCUCAUGCCCUGACCGAAGACAUCUCAACUGAAAAGAACUGGAAUUUGUGAAACUAGAUAUGCUAACUCACUGAUCUGGAGGCUGCUAUGGUAUCAGACACGACACACAGAUGGUUUCAUUUGGGAAGAGAACUGUAAGGGUCAGUUUGUGCUUAGCCAUCAUGGAUGCAGCUCUCCAUCAUGGGUCAAGAUGGCCAACACUGGGGUGGAAGGAAGGAAGAGUAUCAUCACAAAGUGGCUGACAUGGGAGGAGGAAGACCAAAUUGAUGAAUCACCUGGAACCAUCUGCUGCCAUUAAAAAUCACCACCUGCAAUAAAAACCAAAUCAGCAUGCAUAUAGAGUGAUUAUUACCUGAAACUUGAAUUUUUACAGACUGUCAAUGAAAUUAUACUUCUUCAUUAGAUUAGUAUAUUU